ACUCGCCCUCGUGCUCCCUUCAGCCCCUUCGCAGCUCCGUGCGCAAGGUCGUGUCCCGGAAGUGAAGGGGCCAUGUUGAUGGGUGACCCGGGGAGAGGUACCCGGCCAGAGGCGAGUCCUGCGGAGUGGUAGCGCGCACGGCCUGCGGUGUGACACCCAGCCCCUGCCAGUCCCCCAUGGCCCCGUGGAGCCGAGAGGCGGUGCUGAGUCUCUAUCGGGCUCUGUUGCGCCAGGGCCGACAGCUUCGCUACACUGAUCGAGACUUCUACUUUGCCUCCAUCCGCCGUGAAUUCCGAAAAAAUCAGAAGCUAGAGGACGCUGAGGCCCGGGAGAGGCAGCUGGAGAAGGGCCUGGUCUUUCUCAACGGCAAAUUGGGGAGGAUCAUUUAGGAUCCUCCAAGGGAAAGAGGACAAAGGUGCCUUCUGUAGACACUCCUGCUCUCUUCCAUCCCCAUCUUACAGAUGUAUUAAGAAGCCUCAGGCCCAGGGUUCUAACUCCACAGGAAUGGGCUUAUCUGGGGACUGCUGCUGCUGCAGUCAGGAAGACUCCACUGUAGUCGGGAGCAGCACUGGCCUGAGCACUGCACUGGAGGCCAGCCUCUUCGCUGUGGUGCCCAAGUACUUCUUUCAGAUGAGCAAUGGCAGGCGCUGGUGAGCGCAAAGGCAAGAAGGAUGACAAUGGCAUUGGCACGGCCAUUGACUUUGUGCUCUCCAAUGCCCGGCUGGUGCUGGGGGUGGGUGGAGCGGCCAUGCUGGGCAUCGCCACGCUGGCAGUUAAGCGGAUGUACGAUCGGGCGAUCAGUGCCCCUACCAGCCCCACCCGCCUGAGCCAUUCGGGGAAAAGGAGCUGGGAAGAACCCAACUGGAUGGGCUCCCCACGACUGCUGAACAGGGACAUGAAGACGGGCCUGAGCCGGUCCUUGCAGACCCUUCCCACAGACUCCUCCACCUUCGACACAGGAGAAACUUCUUACUUACUACCGGAACCGGGCAGCCAUCCCUGCUGGAGAGCAGGCUCGGGCCAAGCAAGCUGCUGUGGACAUAUGUGCCGAGCUCCGGAGCUUCCUGCGGGCCAAGUUGCCUGACAUGCCGCUUCGGGACAUGUACUUGAGUGGCAGCCUCUACGAUGACCUGCAGGUGGUGACAGCUGACCACAUCCAACUCAUUGUGCCCCUUGUGCUGGAGCAGAACCUGUGGUCAUGUAUUCCUGGUGAAGACACCAUCAUGAAUGUCCCUGGCUUCUUCCUGGUGCGUCGUGAGAAUCCAGAGUACUUUCCUCGUGGGAGCAGUUACUGGGACCGCUGUGUAGUAGGGGGCUACCUCUCUCCAAAGACAGUCGCAGAUACAUUUGAGAAGGUAGUGGCUGGCUCCAUCAAUUGGCCAGCCAUAGGGUCCCUCUUGGACUAUGUGAUCCGCCCGGCCCCACCCCCAGAAGCCCUCACACUGGAGGUGCAGUAUGAGCGUGACAAACAUCUCUUCAUUGACUUCCUGCCAUCAGUGACCCUCGGUGACACAGUCUUGGUGGCCAAACCACACCGGCUAGCCCAGUAUGACAACCUGUGGCGGCUGAGCCUGCGUCCCGCGGAGACGGCACGCCUGCGGGCUCUGGACCAGGCUGACUCGGGCUGCCGAUCUCUGUGCCUCAAGAUCCUCAAGGCCAUAUGCAAGUCCACCCCGGCUCUGGGCCACCUCACUGCCAGCCAGCUAACCAAUGUCAUCCUCCACUUGGCCCAGGAGGAGGCUGACUGGUCUCCGGAUAUGCUGGCCGACCGUUUCCUGCAGGCCUUGAGGGGACUUAUCAGCUACUUAGAGGCUGGAGUCCUGCCCAGUGCCCUAAACCCCAAGGUGAACUUAUUUGCAGAGCUCACCCCUGAAGAAAUAGACGAAUUAGGAUACACUCUGUAUUGCUCAUUGUCUGAGCCAGAGGUGCUGCUGCAGACGUAGGGCAGGUGAAGGCCAAAGCGGGUGUUGGUGGUCAGGCCCUGGAUUCUCCGUUAGAUACACUUGGCUACCUAGUUGGUGCCUCACAGGGUUCCUGCUGCCUGGUGUCUUGCUGAUCAUCACCCUGGUCACUUCAUGCUGAUUAGAAUGACAUCUCUUUCGUCUCCUAUUUUGUUACCCAACUCUUCCUAUUUUUGUUACCAAUCACUGUGCUCUCUGCCGCCCCCUGGCUCCAGGCUAAUUUUUCUGGAAUGAAUUGAGAAGGUGGCGUGCUGGCCUGAGCUGAUGGACCACUUGGUGUUUUGCGUUUUGGCCCAUGUUUGCUGCCUCUAUCUGGUCUGCCUUGCCCGUUUGCCUGUUCCUAUUCAGUGUCUUUUCUAUUUUUUCCUCUCUCGUUCAUGCCUUCUGUUUUGCUCUUGUCCCUGGAGCAUAUCUGCCUAAUUAAGAUGUUGCCUUUUAGUUGAAUGCCACUGAAGAGCUGUGAUAGCAUGUUUCAAAGCUGAACUCUACAGAGCGAGUGCUGAGACAGUAUUUAGGGUUUCUGGGAGUGAGGCUGGUAGAAGAGUUGGCCUUUGACCACGGUUCCUGGAGUAGAAGUCCAUCCUCCCCCCAACCUCCUGACCCAUUCAUAAAUGCUGAGAAUGUCUCUCAUGGGAACACUGUUAAUGACCCACACAGGAUAAGCUGAAUGCAAAGUUAUUUGCAGGUUGAAUUUCUUGGUGGCUAUUAGCAGAAGUGCAGAGUAGGGAACCAGAGCUGGUUAAGGGCCUAGUGAAGGGUUUGUGUGCCCAGUGUCUGCUCGUCAUCUGUGGCUGCAGGGGUCAGACAGACAAGGAUGGGGACUGCCAGGGCACCACUUCAUCAUGAAUGCUGGUUUUCACACCUUUUCCUUAUUUUAUUGCCAAUCAGGACAAGGCCUUGAAGGAACGCAGCCUUAGACAUCAGGUGAGGAUGAUGGAGGUAGACAGUCGACUGAAUGUCAGCUGGAAAAUCCAGUCACUAGUUGGGGUUUGGUGGCCAUGUUUUCUACCCAGACAGGCCCUGCUUUUCUAGGAUGUGGCCUUAGAGCAAGAACAGACCCAACAGCCAGCCCUUCAUCCUCCAGCGUCUGCCAUAGGAAUGUGAGAGGGGUGUUUGCUGAGCGCUCCGGGCACGGCCAGAGGGCAAGUGAGCAUGCACGGACCUCUUCCCCCUGUCCUGUUUCUCACCCAGCACCUGGGGAGAUCGGUGCUACCAAGGAAGAGAGCACACAGAUAAGACAGAGGGGAGGAGGUGGGCAUUUCCUACAUUCCUCCUUGUUUGCCGCUGCUGAGAUUGCAGUAUUUAUUGCAAUGUAAAUGUAUCCUGAAGGUGGGGAGGAAUGUUUAAUCUACCAUGUCCGUGUGUCAUCUUGGUUUGUGUUUUUCCCUGUUUGUAGCAAGACUCUGAUGAUAAUUCUGUUUCUCAUCUGCCCAUUCAGUAUUUUGUUUUCCUUCCGUCAAGUUGUCUUAUUUUUUCAAUGACUACCUCUCCAUCAUUGAGGUUCUGGUGAAGCUCUCUGCAGCUGUCUCAUUCCUUCCCAACGAUAGUAACAGGAAAUGACUCUUUAGCAUCGAUACCUCAACAUCAAUUUAGGGUAGAGAUUCCUGCCCCUCUUUUGUCACAGAUUAGGAAAUUGAGAACUAGGGUUAACCUUGACUAUAUUUAGAGGUCUUUUUGCCUCUUUUCCCCUUAACAAGGAUUUCUUAUGGUGGUUUCAGUUUCAUUUGCAUAAAGGUAUUGAGAGGGAACAAAAAACAUAAAGCUGAGAAUCUUGAGAGAGCUCAUCUACCCUGUCUGUUGGUCAGACUCAAAUGAGAGUUAAAAAAAAAAAAAAAAAUCUGUAUGCCUGAGUACCAUCCUGGAUGAAUCUAGAAGGUAUGGGGUAGAGCUUGACAGGGUUCCUGUGUACCCACUGGGUAUCCGUUAGAGGUAAGGGAGAGGAGAGGAUUGAUAGAGUGUUGCAAAAGUAUAGAUUAUUCAUUGAGAUAAAGGAUUUGGUUUCCCUGCCAUGAGUAUUAAAAAAAUUUAAGUUUUCCCAAGCUUGCAUCUCUGACCAAAUUUCACAUAAAACAUUGGAAGGAGGCUGGGUGCGGUGGCUCAUGCUUGUAAUCCCAGCACUGGGAAGCUAAGGCGGGUGGAUCACUUGAGGUCAGGAGUUCGAGACCAGCCUGGCCAACAUGGUGAAACCCCGUCUCCACGAAAAAGAUAAAAAUAAGCUGGGCGUGGUGGCAGGCGCCUAUAAUCCCAGCUACUCGGGAGGCUGAGGCAGGAGAAUAACUUAAACCCGGGAGGCGGAGGUUACAGUGAGCUGAGAUCGUGCCACUGCACUCCAGCCUGGGUGACAGAGUGAGACCCUAUUUCAAAAAAAUAAAAAUUGGAAGAAGAGCUUAAAAAAGAUAAGAUUUUAAAGAGUCCCAAGUUAUUUAAGUUGAGUGUAAUUGUCAUUUAAGGAAGGCAAAUGAGUUUAUCAUCCUUCUUAAAGAGCAUCUCUUUUAACUGUUGGACAAAACCAUAACUUUGUCAUUUUACAAGGAAGAACCUCUUAAGAAGUCCUCAGAACCAGAAGCAAUGUGAACUCUCAGCGCUGGUCCUGGUGGGUUUGCUGACCAUGACUGGGCAAGCCGUUCUUUUUGCUGCCAUCUUCCUCAUCAUAAAGUGUGGAACAUAGGCAAUUGCUUUGAGAUUCUUGGAUAGAAGAGGACAACAUUCUGCACCUGCCCCCUUUUUUAAAUCUUUGGGGAAAGAUGAGUAACUUUCCCCACUACUCUGCCUUCCUGUUCAGUAACUCUUACUUUUGCCUGAAGUAACAGCAUCUUCUACUUCUCCAUCUAGAGAUUUUUGUGUGUGUGCCAUCAAGGUUAGCAAACUUUAUACGUAGCCUAACACUUAAAAAAUGCACUCAUUAUCUUAAACCUAAUAAAUUCCAGAGUUUAUUUUGGUUCUCCUCUGUUGCCCUUCCUAAAAAAUGAGCUGAAGAUGACAGUAUUUUUCUUUACAUGCUUGGUUAUGACUUUUAAAGUUUUAUUUAAAUAAAUGUUGAAGCUCAAGUUUAAAGAAGCGUUGCAGAGGCCCACGGUCUCCUGGGUCCCGGCCACCUGUCCAUAUUCCACAUUUGCUGACUGUGCUCCCUGCACUCCACUCAAGUUGAGAGUUCAAAUAGUCUUGAAGGGGAAUCAGCUUCAGGAUGGAAGGACCCAGGAGAGGCCCCGAGGUGGGAGGGUUCUGUAAAUACAGACUACUGCGAGUGUCCAGAGCUCUCUGCCAUGAUACUUCCUUGGGACUGACUUGGCUGAGAACGUGUUCUGUCAGAGGAUUUGUUAGAACUCUGCCCUUUUGUCUGAAACUCAAGGCCAAGGAGAAUGAUAGGAGACUUAGGACAGAGCUGACCCUUGCACCAGGCUGGGAGGCUGCAGCCCUUUUAGAUGCCACUUACUGUAAGUGGCCAGAAUACCAGAGAGGUGGGUUCCAUGGUCAAAUGCACAGUAGGUGUUUACCUUUACAUUUGGAUCACCUUGUAGUCUUUAAAUUCUUGGUCCCUGAGGCCAAGUCCACAACUUGCCUUCUAGUCACUUGCCUGCCCGCAGUGGUGGUGGAUGUGUUAGCUGGUAGAUUUGGAAUCAGUCACCAGUCUUUCUGUACUGUCUUGGUUAGCUCUAUAUAAGUAGGGGCAGCUUAGCCCUGAGGCCCAGAGACCUGCUGUCCUUUUUCUCCUUGAGGGAGGAAAUAAAACUGCGGAAUACAAUGUCCUUCCAUAGCAUGGGAAGAAGAAAAUAAACAUCUCCUUUCCAACA
Homo sapiens (human) is the source of this 5752-nucleotide RNA transcript. It is a transcript of the gene named mitochondrial elongation factor 1, with no coding region annotated. The record is from RefSeq and is marked validated. The transcript has 7 exons. NCBI's taxonomy places the organism in Eukaryota, Metazoa, Chordata, Mammalia, Primates, Hominidae.